RNAcentral lists this non-coding RNA (109 nucleotides) under actinobacterium acAMD-5. RNAcentral describes it as "Actinobacterium acAMD-5 SAM-IV sequence". It matches the Rfam family "SAM (S-adenosyl methionine) riboswitch aptamer". From Rfam's summary of the family: SAM-IV is a mRNA element that regulates gene expression via direct sensing of S-adenosylmethionine (SAM or AdoMet). SAM-IV riboswitches share conserved nucleotide positions with the previously described SAM-I riboswitches sequence analysis and molecular recognition experiments suggest that SAM-I and SAM-IV riboswitches share similar ligand binding sites, but have different scaffolds. The record is from RNAcentral. Lineage: Bacteria; Bacillati; Actinomycetota; Actinomycetes.
GGUCCAGAGUGUCAGCGUUAAGUUUCGGCUAGCUGAACGACAACCCUUCCACCGCGAUGGGGUGCCCCCGAAAAGAAGACCUGGCUCAAAAUCUGAGCAAGCGCGGGUC